RNAcentral lists this ribosomal RNA (1292 nucleotides) under Enterobacter kobei. Its description in RNAcentral is "bacterial SSU rRNA". The record is from RNAcentral. Lineage: Bacteria; Pseudomonadati; Pseudomonadota; Gammaproteobacteria; Enterobacterales; Enterobacteriaceae.
AAAUUGAAGAGUUUGAUCAUGGCUCAGAUUGAACGCUGGCGGCAGGCCUAACACAUGCAAGUCGAACGGUAGCACAGAGAGCUUGCUCUCGGGUGACGAGUGGCGGACGGGUGAGUAAUGUCUGGGAAACUGCCUGAUGGAGGGGGAUAACUACUGGAAACGGUAGCUAAUACCGCAUAACGUCGCAAGACCAAAGAGGGGGACCUUCGGGCCUCUUGCCAUCAGAUGUGCCCAGAUGGGAUUAGCUAGUAGGUGGGGUAACGGCUCACCUAGGCGACGAUCCCUAGCUGGUCUGAGAGGAUGACCAGCCACACUGGAACUGAGACACGGUCCAGACUCCUACGGGAGGCAGCAGUGGGGAAUAUUGCACAAUGGGCGCAAGCCUGAUGCAGCCAUGCCGCGUGUAUGAAGAAGGCCUUCGGGUUGUAAAGUACUUUCAGCGGGGAGGAAGGUGUUGUGGUUAAUAACCRCAGCAAUUGACGUUACCCGCAGAAGAAGCACCGGCUAACUCCGUGCCAGCAGCCGCGGUAAUACGGAGGGUGCAAGCGUUAAUCGGAAUUACUGGGCGUAAAGCGCACGCAGGCGGUCUGUCAAGUCGGAUGUGAAAUCCCCGGGCUCAACCUGGGAACUGCAUUCGAAACUGGCAGGCUAGAGUCUUGUAGAGGGGGGUAGAAUUCCAGGUGUAGCGGUGAAAUGCGUAGAGAUCUGGAGGAAUACCGGUGGCGAAGGCGGCCCCCUGGACAAAGACUGACGCUCAGGUGCGAAAGCGUGGGGAGCAAACAGGAUUAGAUACCCUGGUAGUCCACGCCGUAAACGAUGUCGACUUGGAGGUUGUGCCCUUGAGGCGUGGCUUCCGGAGCUAACGCGUUAAGUCGACCGCCUGGGGAGUACGGCCGCAAGGUUAAAACUCAAAUGAAUUGACGGGGGCCCGCACAAGCGGUGGAGCAUGUGGUUUAAUUCGAUGCAACGCGAAGAACCUUACCUACUCUUGACAUCCAGAGAACUUWSCAGAGAUGSWUUGGUGCCUUCGGGAACUCUGAGACGUCGUAGUCCGGAUUGGAGUCUGCAACUCGACUCCAUGAAGUCGGAAUCGCUAGUAAUCGUAGAUCAGAAUGCUACGGUGAAUACGUUCCCGGGCCUUGUACACACCGCCCGUCACACCAUGGGAGUGGGUUGCAAAAGAAGUAGGUAGCUUAACCUUCGGGAGGGCGCUUACCACUUUGUGAUUCAUGACUGGGGUGAAGUCGUAACAAGGUAACCGUAGGGGAACCUGCGGUUGGAUCACCUCCUUA